Molecule: ribosomal RNA, 433 nt
Filed under: uncultured bacterium
Lineage: Bacteria
Description: partial 16S ribosomal RNA
Rfam family: Bacterial small subunit ribosomal RNA
Source: RNAcentral
AAUGAACGCUGGCGGCAUGCCUAACACAUGCAAGUCGAACGAGACCUUCGGGUCUAGUGGCGCCCGGGUGCGUAACGCGUGGGAACCUGCCCUUAGGUUCGGCAUAACUCUCCGACAGGGGUGCUAAUACCGGAUAAUGUCUACGGACCAAAGAUUUAUCGCCUUUGGAGGGGCCCGCGUUGGAUUAGCUUGUUGCUAGGGUAAAAGCCUACGACGGCGACGAUCCAUAGCUGGUCAGAGAGAAUGAUCAGCCACACUGGGACUGAGACCCGGCCGAGACUCCUACGGGAGGCAGCAGAGGGGGAUAGAGGACAAUGGGCGAAAGGCUGAUCCAGCAAUGCCGCGUGAGUGAUGAAGGCCUGAAAGUUGUAAAGCUCUUUUACCCGGGAUGAUAAUGACAGUACCGGGAGAAUAAGCUCCGGCUAACUCCGUG